Molecule: non-coding RNA, 72 nt
Organism: Labrus bergylta (ballan wrasse)
Lineage: Eukaryota; Metazoa; Chordata; Actinopteri; Labriformes; Labridae
Source: the annotation of a RefSeq genome assembly
UCCCUAAUGGUCUAGUGGCUAGGAUUUAGCACUUUCACCGCUGCAGCCCUGGUUCAAUUCCUGGUUAGGGAA